UACGUAGGGUCCGAGCGUUGUCCGGAAUUAUUGGGCGUAAAGGGCUCGUAGGCGGCCAACUAAGUCAGACGUGAAAUCCCUCGGCUUAACCGGGGAACUGCGUCUGAUACUGGAUGGCUUGAGUUUGGGAGAGGGAUGCGGAAUUCCAGGUGUAGCGGUGAAAUGCGUAGAUAUCUGGAGGAACACCGGUGGCGAAGGCGGCAUCCUGGACCAACACUGACGCUGAGUGAGCGAAAGCCAGGGGAGCAAACGGG
Molecule: ribosomal RNA, 254 nt
Filed under: uncultured bacterium
Lineage: Bacteria
Description: partial 16S ribosomal RNA
Rfam family: Bacterial small subunit ribosomal RNA
Source: RNAcentral